This is a non-coding RNA of Osmia lignaria (orchard mason bee), 958 nucleotides long. Lineage: Eukaryota; Metazoa; Arthropoda; Insecta; Hymenoptera; Megachilidae. The record is from RefSeq and is a predicted model, not a curated record.
AUCAUCGAAACCCUUGCUUUCAUGCUCCAUGGUGUUAAAUAUCCAGUUUCCUUAGUAUGACAGUCCUGAAUGAAUUUAUGUAGUGACUAAUGUUGUAUUCCACUCGCGAUACUUAUUUAUUUUAAUCACAACGCGAAAUACAACCGAAGUUUUUAAUACAAUAUUCGUCGUGACAAAAGUAGACUCUAGUCCUAAGUUGGUUCGGAAAAAUCUGCCCCUGGAGGGAAAAAUGUUAGGUAUUUUAUAGGAUCGAAAAAAUAGGAAGCUGGGAGUUAACGUGAGUCCAGCAAUCAGUAGGGGAUGAGGUCAUGAGGUCAAGGUUUGGAGAUGACUAGUUCGGAGGAAUCAUUAGGAAUAGAAGGAAGGACUUGGAGUGUUUGUUGUUGAAGGUUGACUUAUAAUAUGAUAAGAAAACCGGACUAUCUAAGUACGAUAGUGAAUAAUUCGAAUUAACGUUCCCACGGUGAUGUCAUAACGAUCACCUCGCACCUUCUUCCGACGCACAACUGGACGAUACAGAUUCAUAGAACCUAACCUCACGGCCGCUAGGUUAUUUAGCGUCCCUCUUUCCUACAAUCAGUGACUACAAUCCAGAAGUUAACUGCGAGAAUGAGUUCAUUAAAAAGACUCGAUACUACUAACACAUGAUUGUAUUUGUAUAUACAUAUUAACUGAAAACUACGAAUUUUGAAUUUUUAAAUUAUGAACGAUUAUAUAAUUAAAAAGAUUCUAUUCUAGAAGGAAAUAUAUUUAAUGUAAAAGCAGUGGAAAGUGAUGUAUAGUGAUCACGUGUGUUUCUGUGGUGACACAUUGACCUAAUUUGAUCUGUCACUUCUAAAGGGGUUUAGAAUGAACGCGUUACUUUAGAAUUAAUUAUGCCCUUAUUUAUGUAGUUGCAAAUGGUUUUUGAAAAUUAUAAACAUUAUAUAAACAGUAAAGUAAUGAAAGUUUCAUGAUA